This 495-nucleotide ribosomal RNA is filed under the name uncultured bacterium. Its description in RNAcentral is "partial 16S ribosomal RNA". It matches the Rfam family "Bacterial small subunit ribosomal RNA", at positions 28 to 507 of the family's 1533-position model. The record is from RNAcentral.
GACGAACGCUGGCGGCGUGCCUAAUACAUGCAAGUAGAACGCUGAAGGAGGAUCUUGCUUCUCUGGAUGAGUUGCGAAGGGGUGAGUAACGCGUAGGUAACCUGCCUGGUAGCGGGGGGUAACUAUUGGAAACGAUAGCUAAUACCGCAUAAUAUUGACUAUUGCAUGAUAGUCAGUUGAAAGGUGCAACUGUACCACUACCAGAUGGACCUGCGUUGUAUUAGCUAGUUGGUGGGGUAACGGCUCACCAAGGCGACGAAACAUAGCCGACCUGCGAGGGUGCUCGGCCACACUGGGAUUGAGAGAUGGCCCACCAUCCUACGAGAGGGAGCCGGAGGGAAUCUUUGGCGAUGGAAGGAAGUCUGAACAAGGAACGCCGCGCGAGUGCAGAAGGUUGUAGGACCGCGAAGCUCUGUUGUAAGUGAAGAACGAGUGUGAGAGUGGAACGCUAACACUGUGACGGUAUCUUAACAGAAAGCGACGGCUAACUCCGUG